RNAcentral lists this RNase P RNA (391 nucleotides) under Candidatus Yanofskybacteria bacterium RIFCSPHIGHO2_01_FULL_41_53. Its description in RNAcentral is "RNase P RNA component class A". It matches the Rfam family "Bacterial RNase P class A". From Rfam's summary of the family: Ribonuclease P (RNase P) is a ubiquitous endoribonuclease, found in archaea, bacteria and eukarya as well as chloroplasts and mitochondria. Its best characterised activity is the generation of mature 5'-ends of tRNAs by cleaving the 5'-leader elements of precursor-tRNAs. Lineage: Bacteria; Candidatus Yanofskyibacteriota. RNAcentral also lists the same sequence under 5 other names. The record is from RNAcentral.
CCUUGUAAAUGAGGCAACUACUGUGGGGCAACCCACAGAGGAAAGUCCGAGCACUUACCGCUUCAAUGGAGCGGACGAGUAGUGGGUAAUUCCCAUCUGGAGUGAUCCAAGAGGUGCGAGCAGAAACGUCCUGAACCGAAAGGUGAAGGAAAGCCCAGUCCUAACGUAGUUGGCUUAGCUCUGCCAUAAGGAUAAAAAAGCAGAGAUGAAACGGCUAAACCCUUACUUGAGUGCAAGGUCAGCGUUUUCUUGAUAAGUUGAGGCUUGUCCUUAGCUUGUUGAAGGAUUCGAAAAGUUAGACCGCUAUAGGUCGGUAGUGAUAUCGAUCACAGAUAAAUUGUUGCCAUCCCGAAAGGGAUAACAGAACUCGGCUUACGUUUUACAAGGCCGA